This is a long non-coding RNA of Glycine soja, 1067 nucleotides long. RefSeq lists it as uncharacterized. The transcript has 2 exons. The record is from RefSeq and is a predicted model, not a curated record. NCBI's taxonomy places the organism in Eukaryota, Viridiplantae, Streptophyta, Magnoliopsida, Fabales, Fabaceae.
GAUCAUGAGUCCAAAAUUAAAGAUCCAAAGAAGCCCCAUUAGAUAGCAUUUUUUUUUAAAAUAACAAAGCAAGUGUCCAGGGCCCACAAAGUGGGCAUGAUAAGCUAUGUGAUACUCCAAUACACACGUCAGCCCGGGCAAAGGACCACGGAUGUAUCACCCUUGGCAGUUAGACUCCCUGACUAACAGGUUAUCUCUAUGCAUUUCAUUACUUGAAUAUUGAUGAUAAUGUUGCAACUUCCUUAUCAAGUGUUAAUUAUCUGUAAGAUACACAUUAUCUAUAAGUUAUAAUUAUCUACAAGUUGAUAAUUUUCUAUAAGGGUUGUUACAUCACUAUAAUAGUCUCUACAAACAAGGACUCAAAGCUCCUACUCCACUCUAUAAGUAUCAGGUUCUAUCUCACCUUUUUCAUCUCUCAUUCUCACUUAAUUCACGUACUUACUUAAGCAUCGAAAAGUCCUUUGUAUGACUGGUUCCCCUUCUUGUCCUCCUAACAAAGGAUACUCAUAGUCCUACAUGUGAGAUCAUGGAGCCCACCUUGACCAUGUCCACCCUGAUGUUGGCCGGCUCCAUAUUUUGUAGGAUUCAAAAGAAGAAAAUUUCAAGUGCUUCGGAAGAAAAUUGAUGCAAAAACUUGAAGAAAAAAGUUGAAAAUUGAGACAGUUUGUUUAACGCACAAGACAAACUCACCACGUCUCCUCGCUUAGCGGUCAGCUCACGCUUAGUACAAAGAAAGCCCACGAGAAAGUCCAAAGGCAUGCUUAGCGCGUGAUCACUACCAUACUUACUAAGCUCAGAAGGCCCGCUUAGUACAAGGUCGCGUGAAUUUUAAGCUACUUUAGGCCUAUAAAAAGAGUAGGAAGCAAAGAAAAAAAAACAGAUUGAGACUCAAAGCUCUCUAAUGAAUACAUCUUAAGUAUGAGUAUCUCAAAUUGGGGAAAACUCUCUUUCUAUGCCCAUUAUCCCUUUCUCUUCUUUUAUCCAUUCCUUUCCUUCUUUUAUCCACAUUAGUCCCUAAAGUGUAAAGCUUCUCAUGACAAUGAAAGGCUAAACCCCAUUAUUUGGAA